UGUAAACCUGAAAUGAAGAUCUUCUCUUCUCAAGACA
Molecule: transfer RNA, 37 nt
Filed under: Mus macedonicus spretoides
Lineage: Eukaryota; Metazoa; Chordata; Mammalia; Rodentia; Muridae
Also listed under: 1 other name
Description: partial tRNA-Thr
Source: RNAcentral